UAUCAGUUUCAGCUACAAUAUGUCCAUAAUUAUCCACCUACACAAUGACCAUGUUCUUCCUGCUGGCACUUAUUUUGGUCCGAACAUCCUGUGUUACUUCUUCUUGGGUCCUUUCAAGGUGACAGUCUCUCCGGCAAGCUUUUCACUCUUGUCCUAGCAGGAGCUCUUAUAGAACUACGCCAUCGACUAGCAGAGUCUCCUCCACACAUACCCAAUCCCCCUAUUUCAAAAGAAGGUAUGCCACUGGAGUCAGCGUAUUCAGAUGAUUGUAACCUCAUGAACGUGGAAACAGAAUCCUGAGAAGCUAUCCUACCAAUAGCUAAGGAAGUCUUCAAGGAGUUUAACCUGUUCAUUAACACAGAGAAAACAGAAUUUACCCAUGUUUUCCUCGCUCCUGUUGGAGAAAAAAGAAGAAAGAAUUUGUUCAAGAUUAUUGUGAAUGAUUUGACCCGUAGAGGUUUAAAACUUAACUCUUUGAAUGAUCUUAAUAAGCUUAAGAUAUUAGCCGAUGAUAGAGUUGCUUGGAGAAACAAAUUUUAAUUCUAGCUGUCUUGAUCUGUACUGAUCACCAUUUUAGGAUGACUUGAUUUCUUUUAGGGGGUUUGAAUAUUUUAAUGGUGUAAACAGUUUCUUAAUAAUAAUAUGUUAUUUCUUCUGUCAGUGAGUUGGUGUUAAAAGAGCCAAACUUUGAAGGAACGUGUGCCAGGUAGAAAACACCAGGUAGAAAAGACCAAACACUCUCCUGAGUCCUGUAAACAGAAAGCAUGCGACAACAGUGGUGGUACUUGUGGCGAAGAGUGUGAAGUGAACCUAUCUGCCUAAUUAUUAAACGGAACUAGUCAAAGUGAGCCCUGUAGCGACGAACCUGUUUCUUCGGAUAGCGAAGUGUAAUGUCGAGUACUUCAUCUGAGAAUGGUUUCCCGUUUUAUAAAGAAAAUGUUACCUUUGAAGCGGUCUCGAACUUCCUACUCUCCCUCCUCUCGUCAGCUAGACAGUGUCCUAUUAUUUCUCUUGUGUUAAUUUUGUGAUAAAUUCUUUCAUGAGACCAUCUCAGUUUUUGUCUUUCUUAGUAGUAGACGCCACCGAGAAUGAAGACUAUUUAGUAGCGGGGUAAUGAAUUUUUGUCUCAUAUAAAUAUAAGUAACAUAGUAGUAGAUAUUUGUUUAUUGAUAUAAUUUGAUCGUGAAUUUUGAUUGUUUGUAUUAUUAUA
Bolinopsis microptera is the source of this 1210-nucleotide long non-coding RNA. RefSeq lists it as uncharacterized. Lineage: Eukaryota; Metazoa; Ctenophora; Tentaculata; Lobata; Bolinopsidae. The transcript is spliced from 4 exons. The record is from RefSeq and is a predicted model, not a curated record.